Molecule: ribosomal RNA, 492 nt
Filed under: uncultured bacterium
Lineage: Bacteria
Description: partial 16S ribosomal RNA
Rfam family: Bacterial small subunit ribosomal RNA
Source: RNAcentral
AGUGAACGCUGGCGGUAGGCCUAACACAUGCAAGUCGAACGGCAGCACAGUAAGAGCUUGCUCUUACGGGUGGCGAGUGGCGGACGGGUGAGGAAUACAUCGGAAUCUACUUUUUCGUGGGGGAUAACGGAGGGAAACUUACGCUAAUACCGCAUACGACCUACGGGUGAAAGCAGGAGAUCUUCGGACCUUGCGCGUUUGAAUGAGCCGAUGUCGGAUUAGCUAGUUGGCGGGGUAAAGGCCCACCAAGGCGACGAUCCGUAGCUGGUCUGAGAGGAUGAUCAGCCACACUGGAACUGAGACACGGUCCAGACUCCUACGGGAGGCAGCAGUGGGGAAUAUUGGACAAUGGGCGCAAGCCUGAUCCAGCCAUACCGCGUGGGUGAAGAAGGCCUUCGGGUUGUAAAGCCCUUUUGUUGGGAAAGAAAAGCAGCAGGUUAAUACCCCGCUGUUCUGACGGUACCCAAAGAAUAAGCACCGGCUAACUUCGUG